This 497-nucleotide ribosomal RNA is filed under the name uncultured bacterium. Its description in RNAcentral is "partial 16S ribosomal RNA". It matches the Rfam family "Bacterial small subunit ribosomal RNA", at positions 28 to 507 of the family's 1533-position model. The record is from RNAcentral.
GAUGAACGCUGGCGGCGUGCCUAAUACAUGCAAGUCGAGCGAACGGACGAGAAGCUUGCUUCUCUGAUGUUAGCGGCGGACGGGUGAGUAACACGUGGAUAACCUACCUAUAAGACUGGGAUAACUUCGGGAAACCGGAGCUAAUACCGGAUGAUAUUUUGAACCGCAUGGUUCAAAAGUGAAAGACGGUCUUGCUGUCACUUAUAGAUGGAUCCGCGCUGCAUUAGCUAGUUGGUAAGGUAACGGCUUACCAAGGCAACGAUGCAUAGCCGACCUGAGAGGGUGAUGGGCCACACUGGAACUGAGACACGGUCCAGACUCCUACGGGAGGCAGCAGUAGGGAAUCUUCCGCAAUGGGCGAAAGCCUGACGGAGCAACGCCGCGUGAGGGAUGAAGGUCUUCGGAUCGUAAAACUCUGUUAUUAGGGAAGAACAUAUGUGUAAGUAACUGUGCACAUCUUGACGGUACCUAAUCAGAAAGCCACGGCUAACUACGUG